Long non-coding RNA from Solanum tuberosum (potato), 577 nucleotides. RefSeq lists it as uncharacterized. The record is from RefSeq and is a predicted model, not a curated record. Lineage: Eukaryota; Viridiplantae; Streptophyta; Magnoliopsida; Solanales; Solanaceae. The transcript is spliced from 2 exons.
UGUUGUGAUAGCUUAAUUUUCAAGAAAACUCAUUACUAUUUGAGAAUUUGAAACAAUGAGGGCAAUAUGUAUAAUUUCAUUUCUUCUAAUAUUUUUGAUCAUCCAUGAAGCAAAAGCAAGGUCCAUGCAACAAUAUGAUAAUUCCUACAAGGAAUUAUUUUCUCAAUUUAAAGUUGCUAGAGAGCUAAGAGGUUUAAAAGGCAAAAAAGCACCACCACCACCACCAGAUCCUAAUAAGGCAAGUCGUAUGCUUGUCCCUCCUGCUUAUCGUCAUAGAUCACCACCACCACCAUCACCAUCAGAAGUACCAACAAGUUAUUCAUGAGCUGACAAGGGCGGAACUAGGAUUUUAAAUUUAUGCAUUCUAAAUUCUACUUAUUAGAUUUGUAUUUUAACAUAAAUAUAAAGUUUUGGACAAAAAUGAUUUGAGUUUCACAAAAUAAAUAAGCAGAUGUGUAGUUCAGCCCCUGAUUGGGCUUGACAUCAUGUACUAUUCCAUAUGUACUUAAUUUUUUAUUUUAUUUUGGUGAAUUGAAUGCUUUGAUUUGUAAUAAAAGAUUAAGGAUGCUUGAAAGAG